GCCGGGGUGGCGGAACUGGUAGACGCAAGGGACUUAAAAUCCCUCGAGUUUUUUACUCGUGCCGGUUCGAUUCCGGCCCUCGGCACCA
RNAcentral lists this transfer RNA (88 nucleotides) under bacterium. Its description in RNAcentral is "tRNA-Leu". It matches the Rfam family "tRNA". From Rfam's summary of the family: Transfer RNA (tRNA) molecules are approximately 80 nucleotides in length. Their secondary structure includes four short double-helical elements and three loops (D, anti-codon, and T loops). The record is from RNAcentral.